This 5538-nucleotide long non-coding RNA is filed under the name Salmo salar (Atlantic salmon). RNAcentral's name for it is "lncRNA (ENSSSAG00000095874.1, ENSSSAG00000099217.1)". The record is from RNAcentral. Lineage: Eukaryota; Metazoa; Chordata; Actinopteri; Salmoniformes; Salmonidae.
GUGAGUCGCUUUGUGGACAACGACUCCCAUCGUUAGGUCCGGAGAGACAUAUAUAAACCUGUCAGUAUAGCCAUAAUCUUUGAUAAUAAAAGUAAAUGAACAAAGAAGUAGACCAGACCCAGCUGCUAUUGCAUUUGGUGUCUAUAAGAGACAUCUCGUUAAGUAGACCGGAACUGACCUUUUUUUGUUGUUGUUGUAAACGGCGAGUGAACCAUCUUAAUUUAUCCACCAUCUUUGGUGUGUUCAGGAGGAAGUGGAACAUGUAAACACACAACAAUGUCAGCCGUAGACCUAGUGCUCUGCAGCCAGACCUUACUUCUGCACAGUUAUCAAGCUAUAUCAGACCCAUAUCCAUCCAUACAGAACACUUGUCGGCUCUGCGGUCAAAAUCUGCUCAUCAAGGGGACAUUACAGGCAACACGAAGAAUAUUUGACAAGCCUAAAGCCUCAAAGGAAAAAGGUUAUGUGAUAGAUUCCUUGCCACCGGUUUAGUGCUAACUGAAGCACCAGGGGUGAAAUCGGGCAGAAUUUGUGCAAAGUGUUAUAGACUAUUUCUCAGGAUAGAGGAAUCUGUAAGCGUUUUAAAGAAAUGGCAAUCGGAGCAUCAGACACCGGGGACGAGCAAGAAGAGGAAGCGUGAACGGGAACCGAGUCCAUCUGAAACAGACAAGGGAACCAAGAAGACAUCUGAACGGGAACCGAGUCCAUCUGGAACAGACAAGGGAGCCAAGAAGACAUCUGAACGGGAACCGAGUCCAUCUGAAACAGACCGGGCUGCCAAGAAGACAUGUCCUCCCUAUAAAAAGGUUCCCCCGAGGAGCAGUCUUGUCGAGGUUGUCAUAACAUACCCUAACCAAUUGGAUCCAAAGCUGAAAAAGAGGGUUGAGAAGGUUUCAUCCGAAUUUUCCGGAAUGGUUGAAAACUUGGCAAAAGGCAAAUUGACGACAUUUGUCAGGUUAGCCUUGACGAAUGAAACCAUGUGUCAAGAAAUCAGAAAGCAGAUGACACAGAAAAUAGAAGCAGAGGUCAAGGCAUAUGCAAGACCCUUAAAUUACCUGACUUGUGCUGAACCUUGCAUCUUGAGUAGUACCUCGUUGGAGAAUAUGAAGUGUUUUUCAUACAAAGCGUUGGAUGAUGAGUUGUCCAAGAAGACACCAUGGCUUUAUACCACCAUCAAUACUGCAACAGGUGGAUCCACCAUCCAUAACUGUGUAGCCGCCUCUGUGGCCCUGAGAGGUAGAAACCCCAGGCUUUCUGCACUGGCCUAUGUCAUCAACUCCACACUGACCCAAGGAGGGGUUAAGCCCAUUUUCAAAAGACUCUCUAAGAUGGGCAUAACAACCACACACAGCAAUGUCCUAAAUAAGCAGAAAGAGAUGAAGGCAGCUGGGUACAACAUCAACAUCAAAUGCUGGAGGGAGGACUGUGAGCUGUUUUUCCAACAUAGUAUCAACGGUGAAGUCUGCCCACGACCACCUCCUACUGCUAAACCGACAGAGGAGACCGGAAGAGAGGAAGAAGAGGAGGAGGACAAGGGUCCAGUGGAGGAUGAGUUUGAAAUAGAGCUGGACUGGGGUCCACUGGAGGAAGAGGGUGAAGGAGAUGAGGAAGAGUGGAGUCCACUGUCAGAAGAGACAGAAAGAGAGGAGGACAGAGGAUCUACAGUGGAGGAAGAGAGAGGAGAGGAGAAAGCCCGGGGUUCCCUGCUAGGAGAGACAGAAAGAGAGGAAGAGGGACAAACAUUAUCAGCACUAGAAGGAAAUGACAGACAGGAAGAGGAUUCUGAUUCAACAGUGGAUUCAGAGACUGAAUACUUUGGAUUAAACCUCACCUGUGAGAGUGAUUAGAGAAGUAGCCUAACAAAGAGUCUGUAGAUUACAGAUCUAGACCUGGGCUACAUCUCUGAACAACAAGGCCCUAAUCAUAGAAUACAUCCCAAAUGGCACCCUAUUCCCUUUAUAGUGCACUACUUUUGACCAGGGCCAUUUGGGACAGAAUCAUACAGUGAAAUUACUCAUGUUGAGGGGGGUCAGGAUGUGAGGUCUACUGUUCCUGGUGUAUUGAGGGGUCAGGAUGUGAGGUCUACUGUUCCUGGUGUAUUGAGGGGGUCAGGAUGUGAGGUCUACUGUUCCUGGUGUAUUGAGGGGUCAGGAUGUGAGGUCUACUGUUCCUGGUGUAUUGAGGGGUCAGGAUGUGAGGUCUACUGUUCCUGGUGUAUUGAGGGGUCAGGAUGUGAGGUCUACUGUUCCUGGUGUAUUGAGGGGUCAGGAUGUGAGGUCUACUGUUCCUGGUGUGUUGAGGGGGUCAGGAUGUGAGGUCUACUGUUCCUGGUGUAUUGAGGGGUCAGGAUGUGAGGUCUACUGUUCCUGGUGUGUUGAGGGGUCAGGAUGUGAGGUCUACUGUUCCUGGUGUGUUGAGGGGGUCAGGAUGUGAGGUCUACUGUUCCUGGUGUAUUGAGGGGUCAGGAUGUGAGGUCUACUGUUCCUGGUGUGUUGAGGGGGUCAGGAUGUGAGGUCUACUGUUCCUGGUGUGUUGAGGGGUCAGGAUGUGAGGUCUACUGUUCCUGGUGUAUUGAGGGGUCAGGAUGUGAGGUCUACUGUUCCUGGUGUGUUGAGGGGGUCAGGAUGUGAGGUCUACUGUUCCUGGUGUGUUGAGGGGUCAGGAUGUGAGGUCUACUGUUCCUGGUGUGUUGAGGGGGUCAGGAUGUGAGGUCUACUGUUCCUGGUGUGUUGAGGGGGUCAGGAUGUGAGGUCUACUGUUCCUGGUGUAUUGAGGGGUCAGGAUGUGAGGUCUACUGUUCCUGGUGUGUUGAGGGGUCAGGAUGUGAGGUCUACUGUUCCUGGUGUGUUGAGGGGGUCAGGAUGUGAGGUCUACUGUUCCUGGUGUGUUGAGGGGGUCAGGAUGUGAGUACAGUGUGUUGAGGGGGUCAGGAUGUGAGUACAGUGUGUUGAGGGGGUCAGGAUGUGAGUACAGUGUGUUGAGGGGGUCAGGAUGUGAGUACAGUGUGUUGAGGGGGUCAGGAUGUGAGUACAGUGUGUUGAGGGGGUCAGGAUGUGAGUACAGUGUGUGUGUUGAGGGGGUCAGGAUGUGAGUACAGUGUGUUGAGGGGUCAGGAUGUGAGUACAGUGUGUUGAGGGGUCAGGAUGUGAGUACAGUGUGUUGAGGGGUCAGGAUGUGAGUACAGUGUGUUGAGGGGGUCAGGAUGUGAGUACAGUGUGUGUUGAGGGGUCAGGAUGUGAGUACAGUGUGUGUUGAGGGGUCAGGAUGUGAGUACAGUGUGUGUUGAGGGGUCAGGAUGUGAGUACAGUGUGUUGAGGGGUCAGGAUGUGAGUACAGUGUGUUGAGGGGGUCAGGAUGUGAGUACAGUAUAUUGAGGGGUCAGGAUGUGAGUACAGUGUGUUGAGGGGUCAGGAUGUGAGUACAGUGUGUUGAGGGGUCAGGAUGUGAGUACAGUGUGUUGAGGGGGUCAGGAUGUGAGUACAGUGUGUGUUGAGGGGUCAGGAUGUGAGUACAGUGUGUUGAGGGGUCAGGAUGUGAGUACAGUGUGUAUUGAGGGGGUCAGGAUGUGAGUACAGUGUGUAUUGAGGGGUCAGGAUGUGAGUACAGUGUGUAUUGAGGGGUCAGGAUGUGAGUACAGUGUGUAUUGAGGGGGUCAGGAUGUGAGUACAGUGUGUUGAGGGGUCAGGAUGUGAGUACAGUGUGUAUUGAGGGGGUCAGGAUGUGAGUACAGUGUGUUGAGGGGUCAGGAUGUGAGUACAGUGUGUAUUGAGGGGGUCAGGAUGUGAGUACAGUGUGUAUUGAGGGGGUCAGGAUGUGAGUACAGUGUGUUGAGGGGUCAGGAUGUGAGUACAGUGUGUUGAGGGGGUCAGGAUGUGAGUACAGUGUGUUGAGGGGGUCAGGAUGUGAGUACAGUGUGUUGAGGGGGUCAGGAUGUGAGUACAGUGUGUUGAGGGGUCAGGAUGUGAGUACAGUGUGUAUUGAGGGGUCAGGAUGUGAGUACAGUGUGUUGAGGGGGUCAGGAUGUGAGUACAGUGUGUUGAGGGGGUCAGGAUGUGAGUACAGUGUGUUUACAACGGUAUUAAAGAGACCAGCUCCAUUUAGAUGUUCAAUUCAAACUUUAUUUUUUGUUAUUUGGUACUUCCCCAAAUGGCACCCUAUUCCCUAUAUAGGAUUCUGGUCAGAAGGAAUGCACUGAAUGAAUAGGGUGUCAUUUGUGACGAAACCCUUGAAUAGAAAAAUGAAUAAAAAAUAAACCUAUAUCCAGUAUUCCAUAGAGGGGUCUGUUCAUGUCUGGGUUAUUGUUCAGGAAACAGAGGUCUUACCUGAACCUGUCCAAUAAGAACACAGGUUUUUGUUUUGCUACAUCGUGUUCUACUGAAUAGGACCCUGUUACCACGACACUAUCAAUGAUGUCACGGUCACAUGUUUGGCCUGUAGCCCUCAGGGACAGGUCUGUGUUCUUGUGGCUGGGACAGAUGGCGUCUCCAGGUUAGGGUAUGGUAAGGUGCCUGGGAACCACAAACAUCCACUUUGUUAUGUCCAUGUUGUUAUAAUUAUAUUUAAUUUGGGAUUUGUUCUCAAUUAAUUAUCUGGGUAAAUAAAGGUUAGACGAACACAAGAUUUGACCUGUCUUUAUCAUGAUGGACACCAGGCAGCCACCCAUACAGCCUUGUAAAUGAUGAUGGCAGACAUUUUGUUUUCCAAAACUCACCAAAUGUCUGCAUCUCCCACAGCACGAUGCCAAAUGCCCACACGUCCCCCUUGAAGCUGUAAUAGUUGGUUUUCUGACCGGCCAGGUCACAGUGCACCCACCACCUGUAAGUACAGGUCAGAGAUCAGGACUAAUAAAUGUUCUGUAGCUGUGUGUAUGGGUUACUGUCUGUAAGAAAUGAUCGUAGGUCACAGUGCACCACCUGGAACACAGACCCCAGAUCAUUUACUGUCUGUCUAAUGUCAGGUCCCAAACCAGUAAUGCAGGUGGCAGUUGGUGUCAUAAGGAAUGAGUGGGAGGAGGAGGAAACUGGCUUCCAUUUUGGAUCGGAGGUGUUCCAUGGCCAGUGUGAUGUGAUAAGAGGUGAUGGUGAGCAGGCUCUGUAGCUCAGGGUCAGGGGUCAUCUCGUCUCUGUGGGUCUGAAGGAAGCGCCAACACACAGGACUCUGGGAGAACUACACACAGGACUCUGGGAGAUCGACACACAGGACUCUGGGAGAACGACACACAGGGCUCUGGGAGAUCGACACACAGGACUCUGGGAGAACGACACACAGGACUCUGGGAGAACGACACACAGGACUCUGGGAGAUCGACACACAGGACUCUGGGAGAUCAACACACAGGACUCUGGGAGAUCAACACACAGGACUCUGGGAGAUCACCACAUAACACAGAAUUCAUGAUGUUGUAGUAAAUAUGUUAUAGAUGUGCCACUCGUUUCUAUUCCUUAUGGAGACUAAUAUAAAUAAUAACGACUCCCAAAGUGGUAGAUUAUCACACAGUAUUUUUUUCUUAUUUUGGUCAUGGGAGGAUGGUCAGUUUCU